UAGAUUGAAGCCAGUUGUAUAGGGUUUUUAGCUGUUAACUAAAGUUUUGUGGGAUAAAUGCCCACCAAUCUAG
This 73-nucleotide transfer RNA is filed under the name Casinycteris argynnis (Golden short-palated fruit bat). RNAcentral describes it as "tRNA-Asn". The record is from RNAcentral. Lineage: Eukaryota; Metazoa; Chordata; Mammalia; Chiroptera; Pteropodidae.